This 306-nucleotide ribosomal RNA is filed under the name uncultured Pseudomonas sp. RNAcentral describes it as "bacterial SSU rRNA". It matches the Rfam family "Bacterial small subunit ribosomal RNA", at positions 1077 to 1382 of the family's 1533-position model. Lineage: Bacteria; Pseudomonadati; Pseudomonadota; Gammaproteobacteria; Pseudomonadales; Pseudomonadaceae. The record is from RNAcentral.
GGGUUAAGUCCGUAACGAGCGCAACCCUUGUCCUUAGUUACCAGCACGUUAUGGUGGGCGACUCUAAGGAGACUGCCGGUGACAACCGGAGGAAGGUGGGGAGUGACGUCAAGUCAUCAUGGCCCUUACGGCCUGGGCUACACACGUGCUACAAUGGUCGGUACAAAGGGUUGCCAAGCCGCGAGGUGGAGCUAAUCCCAUAAAACCGAUCGUAGUCCGGAUCGCAGUCUGCAACUCGACUGCGUGAAGUCGGAAUCGCUAGUAAUCGUGAAUCAGAAUGUCACGGUGAAUACGUUCCCGGGCCUU